Molecule: ribosomal RNA, 253 nt
Filed under: uncultured bacterium
Lineage: Bacteria
Description: partial 16S ribosomal RNA
Rfam family: Bacterial small subunit ribosomal RNA
Source: RNAcentral
UACGUAGGGUGCGAGCGUUAAUCGGAAUUACUGGGCGUAAAGGGUGCGCAGGCGGUCCUGCAAGUCAGGCGUGAAAUCCCCGGGCUUAACCUGGGAAUGGCACUUGAAACUACGGGACUGGAGUAUGGCAGAGGGAGGUGGAAUUCCACGUGUAGCGGUGAAAUGCGUAGAGAUGUGGAGGAAUACCGGUGGCGAAGGCGGCAUCCUGGACCGACAUUGACGCUGAGGAGCGAAAGCUAGGGGAGCAAACGGG